Molecule: ribosomal RNA, 492 nt
Filed under: uncultured bacterium
Lineage: Bacteria
Description: partial 16S ribosomal RNA
Rfam family: Bacterial small subunit ribosomal RNA
Source: RNAcentral
AGUGAACGCUGGCGGUAGGCCUAACACAUGCAAGUCGAACGGCAGCACAGUAAGAGUUUGCUCCUACGUGUGGCGAGUGGCGGACGGGUGAGGUAUACAUCGAAAUCUCCAUUUUCGUGGGGGAUAGCGUAGGGAAACUUACUCUAAUACCACAUACGCCCUGCGGGUGAAAGCAGGGGCUCUUCGGCCCUUGCGCGAUUGUAUGAGCCGAUGUCGGAUUAGCUAGUUGGCGGGGUAAAGGCCCACCAAGGCGACGAUCCGUAGCUGGUCUGAGAGGAUGAUCAGCCACACUGGAACUGAGACACGGUCCAGACUCCUACGGGAGGCAGCAGUGGGGAAUAUUGGACAAUGGGCGCAAGCCUGAUCCAGCCAUACCGCGUGGGUGAAGAAGGCCUUCGGGUUGUAAAGCCCUUUUGUUGGGAAAGAAAAGCAUCAGGUUAAUACCCCGGUAGUCUGACGGUACCCAAAGAAUAAGCACCGGCUAACUUCGUG